Molecule: long non-coding RNA, 481 nt
Filed under: Numida meleagris (helmeted guineafowl)
Lineage: Eukaryota; Metazoa; Chordata; Aves; Galliformes; Numididae
Description: lncRNA (ENSNMEG00000014233.1)
Source: RNAcentral
GCUGUUUGAUUCAGGACGCUGCACCGUUGGGAACAGGAAGGAUGCACCCAGGCUCCUUGUCUGCUCAACCUGGAUCUCGGGCUCCUUUCCUACUCAGGUGCUCACCGUGGUCCCAUGGAUAAAACAAGGGGAGCCCCCAGGGCCGUGAGCCUCUUCCUGAGAGGUGCUCCCAAACAUUCAGCCACUGCCUCCAUCCUUCCAGCCACAGCAGUGGUUUCCACAGGCCUUUCUUCCCUAAUCAGCAGGCAUCCAGCGAUGGGGCUGAUGGUUACGGUUCCCUUGGUUUUGUGGUGAGAAGGAAACUCAUGAACAUUGGACAGGUGAGCGCUGGGCAGCAGAGCUGUGCUACAGACAGUCCCUGGGGCAGCCCAGGGCAUCACUGACGAGCGAGCAACCACAGCACCCAGAAGGACUGAAGAUGAAGAAGGGAAUCUGGAUGAAAACCUUCCUUUGAAAUAAAUGGAAGAAGAAUUGUUUUCCA